UCUCGUGUGGCGAACGGGUGAGUAACACGUGGGUGAUCUGCCCUGCACUUUGGGAUAAGCCUGGGAAACUGGGUCUAAUACCGAAUACACCCUGCUGGUCGCAUGGCCUGGUGGGGGAAAGCUUUUGCGGUGUGGGAUGGGCCCGCGGCCUAUCAGCUUGUUGGUGGGGUGAUGGCCUACCAAGGCGACGACGGGUAGCCGGCCUGAGAGGGUGACCGGCCACACUGGGACUGAGAUACGGCCCAGACUCCUACGGGAGGCAGCAGUGGGGAAUAUUGCACAAUGGGCGCAAGCCUGAUGCAGCGACGCCGCGUGGGGGAUGACGGCCUUCGGGUUGUAAACUCCUUUCGCCAGGGACGAAGCGCAAGUGACGGUACCUGGAGAAGAAGGACCGGCCAACUACGUGCCAGCAGCCGCGGUAAUACGUAGGGUCCGAGCGUUGUCCGGAAUUACUGGGCGUAAAGAGCUCGUAGGUGGUUUGUCGCGUUGUCCGUGAAAACUCACAACUACAAUUGUGGGCGUGCGGGCGAUACGGGCAGACUGGAGUACUGCAGGGGAGACUGAAU
RNAcentral lists this ribosomal RNA (566 nucleotides) under Mycolicibacterium duvalii. RNAcentral's name for it is "bacterial SSU rRNA". It matches the Rfam family "Bacterial small subunit ribosomal RNA", at positions 89 to 666 of the family's 1533-position model. Lineage: Bacteria; Bacillati; Actinomycetota; Actinomycetes; Mycobacteriales; Mycobacteriaceae. The record is from RNAcentral.